This 513-nucleotide ribosomal RNA is filed under the name uncultured bacterium. RNAcentral describes it as "bacterial SSU rRNA". It matches the Rfam family "Bacterial small subunit ribosomal RNA", at positions 11 to 523 of the family's 1533-position model. The record is from RNAcentral.
GUUUGAUCAUGGCUCAGAUUGAACGCUGGCGGCAUGCCUUACACAUGCAAGUCGAACGGCAGCACGGGAGCAAUCCUGGUGGCGAGCGGCGAACGGGUGAGUAAUACAUCGGAACGUGCCCAAUAGUGGGGGAUAGCCCGGCGAAAGCCGGAUUAAUACCGCAUACGACCUGAGAGUGAAAGCAGGGGAUCGCAAGACCUUGCGCUAUUGGAGCGGCCGAUGUCAGAUUAGCUAGUUGGUGGGGUAAAGGCCUACCAAGGCUACGAUCUGUAGUUGGUCCGAGAGGACGACCAGCCACACUGGGACUGAGACACGGCCCAGACUCCUACGGGAGGCAGCAGUGGGGAAUAUUGGACAAUGGGCGGAAGCCUGAUCCAGCAACGCCGCGUGAGGGAUGACGGCCUUCGGGUUGUAAACCUCUUUCAGCACAGACGAAGCUGACUCCACGUGUGGGGUGGGUGACGGUAUGUGCAGAAGAAGCACCGGCCAACUACGUGCCAGCAGCCGCGGUUA